UUUUUUUUUUCUAACAUAUAACUGAAUUAAGAGAUGGAAAAUAUAACAGAACCCGUCACCCAACAUCUUCUGAAAUAUUUAAGGCACCGCCACAAUUAACAAUUUGAAAAGCCUUAUUCAAGAAAUUCAACGCACGCUAAUGAAAUAAAUUUCUGGCUCCGCCACUGAUCACAGAUUACAAGAAGAUGCAAAAGAGCUACCACGGUUUGAGGUCGGCGACGGGGCCGGCGUCCCAGUUCAAGAAUGUCUGGCCUGGCUUCAAGAAGGCGGCGUUGGGGUGGGGCAGCUUUCGAGCUAGGCCGUUCAAGAUCUGAUGGAAAACUCAUUUAAUUCCAGCUUCAGGGAGUGAAUAGAUGAGAGGUUGUUACACUGCUCAAAUUGCACACAACAAAUCAAUUCAAAAUUGUAAUUUUAUAGAUAGAAUUCUCAUAGUUAGUAAGUACAAAUAUUUGGUGCUAUCAUACGGUUAGGUUAAGCAAUGACUUCAUUCACCAUGCAUUCCCUCAACUUAAGCUCCACAUAUUCCCCCACUCUAACAACAUCGCAGCAUUCACACCGAUCCAUCUAACAAGAAAUGAUAAAUAACAAUUAAUAUAUGGAAAAAAGAAAGGGGAAAAAAAUUUGAAAGGGAAAUUAAGGUCACCUCUUUCCGCUUGGUUGCUGGGGAAAGGACACGGAUCUCGAAGACAAGAUCCGCUUUAUCUUUAGCCGUUAAAAAGCAAGGUGGUAUCCCACGAGGCGCCACUCGAGAGUAGGUGGUUAGGAUUCCCAUCGAAACCUUGUCUACUUUCUUAAAGAAGAAGAUAUGGGGGACAAGGCAGGAAUCAUUGGAUGGUAACCUCGUAUUGAACAUGUAGAGAGGCGGCGGCAGAGGCAUGCGUGACCACGGCUGGAAUGUCUCGAGGGGCUUUUGCAGGUGGCUUCGAGGCAUGAUUUGCUCGUAUAUGUGGGCGGAGUAGCCCCACGAAACGGACAAGGACCAAUUGCUUUGCCUGUGGUGGCAGAUGGUUUGUUGUAGCAUACGGGAUUGGUCGGCCGCCGCCGCCUUCAUGAGGUGCCGUGUCGACUGGUAACGAUUCAUGCCGGGGAAUAUUGGUUUCACCGCAUCAAAAUGGUGGAGGGAGAGUAGUGAGGAUUUUGGAUGUGAAGAUAAGAAUCCGGAGAGAUCGCCGCGUAAAUCAAUCUGCAAAAAUGGACUACUUUUUUUGGGCGGAGAGAGUAUAAUAAUAUAAAAAAAUUGAUAAUAUUUGAGGUCAAAAGUUUCAAGUUUCGGAUCCACCCCUAUUAAAUCAAUCACUAAUUAAUACUCGACUUCUGUGAGUCGAGCAUUAGUGAUAAAUACACCAAUGCUCGACAUGUUCGACUAUUGCGAGUCGAGCAUUUUUAAUUAGAAAAUGCACAAAAUACAUCAGUACAAAAUACACUAAUGCUCGACAUAAGAAUAAAAAAGUCCUAAAUAAGUAUAGUUUACUAUAUUUUGUAAAAGGGGGUAUUUUUUAAAUUUCAUGUGUAUAUAUACCUAGAAGUAUGAGAGAGAGGGAGAGAGAGAGAGAGAGAUCACCUGGUGAAUUCCCUUGUGAGGAGAGAGAUUGACACCAAUAUCAGCAAUACAAGACAUAGUAAUCAGAUCAGCUGAAGUCAAGUGAGCAUGACGCCUUAGACAACUCUCCAUAUCAUUUGCAAGAGCUUUUGCAAGAGGGUAACUCAACAUGAACCCAGCUCCUCCAAAUCCUUGGUUAAACGAGAACCAAUAAUUCGACAUCACAAAUUCCGACUGCCCCCCAACGUAGUAAUACUUCCCAUGAUCCAACUCACCAAGGGCGUCGAUCAUGUUCUCCACCAAGAAAACCGAAUCGUCAUCCCCCAUCACGACCCAUCUAACGUUCGCGUCGCCCAUCUCCCUCACCACUUCCAUGAUCCCGUGAACCAUGCGGAUCAUAACCGGGGCCCGUGCCCUGCUCUCCUGCAAGAGUUUCGUUAGGUCGUCUGAAACCCUAUACGGAGGCGAGGCACGGGACCAUGGCACGAGGUCCCCCGUCGGGGCCUUGUCCAAGUACAAAACUCCACGUGUCACGUUUGGCCUCCACCACGAUUGUAUGUAGUGUUGCCUACCAUGCCACGCUUUUUCAGACCCUAAGAGUCCGAAAAGGACGUGGCUGAGAUUCGUUGGGGGCUCUGGGACCAGAGCCCCCGGGGAAAAGAAUUUGGAGUUGGGAUAAUGAUUGGGAAGGGAAACGAAGAUCAAAUAUGUAGAAAGGCCUAAAAAGAGCAGGAGAUUGGACACAUUUCUUGCAUUUUGAGACGAAAAUGGAAGAGCCAUUGAUUUCAAGAAUGUAAGAAUGGAGUGUUGCUUUCAGACAACCAUUUUUAUGGGACCUCCAACGUUAAUUGAUUUGCAGAGAUGAAUUAAUAUUUAUCUUGCCAUUGUUGAAUAUAAUAGUAAUACUAGUAAUAAUAUACUAUAUACAUAACAUGUUUUGUCUAGGAGUGAGCAAAACCGGACCAAAACCGACGGACCGGACCGAACCGAUCGGUUUUUUCGGUCCGGGUCGGUUUUGGUCCAUGUAUUGGUCUGGUCCGGUCCUAUUUUCUUGGACCGAAAAUAUUUCGGUUGGUCCCGUCCCGGGGAGGCCAAAACCGACGAAAACGGACCGAACCGAAUAAUAUAUUUUAAAUAUAUAAUUAAUAUUUUUAUUAAUAUUAUUAAUAUUUAUAUUAAUUUCUAAUAUUUUUAUUAAUAUUUUUAUUAAUAUAUUAAUAUUUUUAUUAAUUUCUAAUAUUUUUAUUAAUUUAUAAUGUUUUUAUUAAUAUUUUUAUUAAUAUUAUUAAUAUUUUUAUUAAUUUAUUAAUAUUUUUAUUAAUUUUUAAUAUUUUUAAAAAACGGUCGGUUUUGGACCGAACCGGACCGAGGACCGAUGACGGUUUCGGUCCGGUUUCGGUCCGGUCCUAAGGUUUCAGUUGGUCCGAUUCGGUCCAAAUUUUUUUUGAAAAUUCGGUCCUCGGUUUCGUCGGUCCGGUCCGGACCGACUGCUCCACCCCUAGUUUUGUCCAACUAUGAUAUAUAUAUAUAUAUAUAUAUAUAUAGGGUUGACUAAGAAUCAUGCUUUUUUACUUGAGUAAUUGCACUUAACUUAACAUAUAUAAGAGCAUUCACAUUGGACUCUACUCGUAGAGCGGGCGCGCCACAGCUGCGCGGCGCAGAGACAAGAAAGAGAGGGUGCGUGGGAAAUACGCACCAAUUAUAAUUAAGAACAAAUUGAGAACAUGAUAAUUAACAAAUUAUUUUGAAAACUACAUUUUUCGUAAAAACGUGAUAAUUGCAUUCAUUGUUAAAACUAAUAAACUAUCAAACAAAAAUUGCCAUAAUAAAAUUCGAACUCAGGUGAUGCAUCCAACAAGACGAUGCAUUACCGUAAAUCUUCACAAUCAAAUCGAAAAAAUUGAAAGUGGUUAAAUUGUCGGACUUGGACACAUUUCCUAGUAUAUAUAAUAUACACAUGCACAUGGGGUCCUCCUGUUAAAUUGUCAGACUUGGACAAAAUUAAACACGAUUAAAACCUCGUUUUAAAGGGCAAAUAUUUUGAAAAAAAUAAAAUAAAACCAACACAGAUUAAGUUGCCUGCACGAUUAAUACACUACUGCAUACACCCUGGCAAUUAUUAGGUUAAAACUUGCAAGACUUAUAUUUGUAUAAUUAAUUAGUUGAGCGUUGAGCAUCACAUAAUUGCUUUGCAAUAUAUGACAAAAAAAUUCAACUCGAACAUUGAUUUUCAAUGGCUUCCCUUUCACGUAAAUUUGAUUGUUAUAUAUAUGUUUAUUAUAUUAUCGAUAAUAUUUGCCUGUUUCGACUUAUUUGCUCAGCAUUGUGAAUUUUAGUAUUGGGGAGUGGGCAAAUGUUUUCGAAAAAUAGAAAUUAUAAUCAAACUAAGCUGAAAAACUAAAUUCAGUUCAGUUAAUUUGAUUUUUCUGAAAAUAAAAUUUGAAUUCUCGUUGGUUUAGUGAUUUUUAUUGUAUUUUUUAAUUAUUGAUUUUGGAUUGUUAAUAUACUAUCAUGCACUUAUUUGGUUUGUUAUUUGUAGAUUUUGACAAUUGUAACAUAAUUUUCCUAUUGAUGUAACUUUACGAAGCUGGUAUUAACCUUUUUGCUAAUAUGCUCACAGAGUUGAUAUCGAGAAGAUAUUGACAUAUUGUAAUGUUUUCUAACUCACCAAAGAUCUCUUUUAAAAUUAGUUGUAAUUCAUGGAACUAUCUAAUCUACUCCCUCCGUCCCACGACACAUGAGUCAUAUUCUUUUUUAGGUCGUCCCACGAAACUUGUUACAUUUUCUUAUAUGACAAAAGUUUUUUCCUUUAUUUAAAUUUUCACUUUUUCACCUACCACACUUAACACACUAAAUACUACUUUCUUAAACUAUGUGCCCAAAAGAAAUGACUCGUGGUUGUGGAUGUUAUUCGUUAUUAUUAGUAUUAUGUUUGUUUUUUUUUUAAGAAAAAUUUCCAAAAUAUACAAAAUGCCCAGAAAUGUACGAACCCCGUACAAGUUCAAUCUCCACCAACGUAAAUUCCUGGCUCCGCCACCGAAAGUAAGUCAAUUGUAACAACACGCAUGUAUAGUUUCCUCUCCCAAUUCUUUCAUCUUCUUAUUAUUUUUAUUUUUUUCUAACAUAUAACUGAAUUAAGAGAGGGAAAAUAUAACAGAACCCGUCACCCAACAUCUUCUGAAAUAUCUAAGGCACCGCCACAAUUAACAAUUUGAAAAGCCUUAUUCAAGAAAUUCAACCCACGCUAACGAAAUAAAUUUCUGGCUCCGCCACUGAUGUACAGAUUACAAGAAGAUGCAAAAGAGCUACCACGGUUUGAGAUCGGCGACGGGGCCGGCGUCCCAGUUCAAGAAUGCCUGGCCUGGCUUCAAGAAGGCGGCGUUGGGGUGGGGCAGCUUUCGAGCAAGGCCGUUCAAGAUCUGAUGGAAGGCGUCGCCCGGCUGCGCAGGCUGCGGGAACAGCAUGGCC
Molecule: long non-coding RNA, 5008 nt
Filed under: Salvia miltiorrhiza (redroot sage)
Lineage: Eukaryota; Viridiplantae; Streptophyta; Magnoliopsida; Lamiales; Lamiaceae
Description: long non-coding RNA (SMIL_LNC004948)
Source: RNAcentral